CCACCCCCUCACCUGACUCCCCCAUAUUUCUUUUCCACAAAUAAAAGGCGUAUAUAGGCACCAAGAACAGAUUAAAAAUAUACAACACUGAUCUUACCAGCACAAACCAUGGGAUAGACUCCUCACCAUCAAUCUCACAAUCACACACACUCACCAGAAUACGCGCACACAUACUAUAUUGUUAUACAUGCACGCACAGAUCAAAGAGAAAAGAAAUCGAGAGCGAGAGAGAGAGAGCUGAAAUCGAGGGAGAAAUCGAGGGAUAUUGAGACAGAUCGGAGAAAGAGAGGGUGAAAAUAAGGAGAGGAAGAGAGAAAACUGACGGGGGUAGAUCAUUCUGGCGAUUCAUCGCCAGAAAAACAUCAUCGUUGAUCCAAAAUUUAUUCUAAAAUUUUCUUCUUUUUAAUCCUUCUAAGCUCGUCGGAGUUCCUUCAGCUCCGUCCCAUUCUGGCAAAAUCACUGAACUAGCCGCAUCGCCAAUUCAGUUUUCUCCAAAGUCCGGCAAGCCAUUUUCUUCCCGUCACUGCCUGAGCUCACCGGAGCUCUGGUGAGUCAUGAAACAUCGGAAGAAAACAAGGGGGGGUCAUCUUUGGAAUUUUGGGUUUCGAGUUCGAGCUUCGUCCGUGGUUCAUUGGUUCCGAGGCUCCCGUCGUCGUUGAAAUUAGUUCAAUUGGUCGAAUAAAAGCCCCAAUUUAAGGUCCAUAUUUUUAUCUCAUUCUUAUCCUCGGUUAAUUUUUAUUGUUGUGUGUGGUUGAUUGUUAUCGUCUCGACUUUUUCUUAUCUUAUGCGUGAUAUGAAUGAUGAAUGUCGAGUGAUAUUGAUUGUGGAUUAUUAUCGUUAAUUUGUUAUGUUGGAACAAUGGUUAAAAAUGAUUUGAGGAUGGGAAUCGGAAGUUAAUGGAAUCGAUCGUUUGAUUUGAAAUGGAUAUUAAUGUUGUUGAAUUUGGAUAAAUUUUGAUUCAUUGAAGUUGUAUGUGAUAUAAUCGUGAUAGGUCGAGCGGGUAGGCAAGCACUAGGCUCGGGUAGGCAAAAUUUAGAAUUGGUGGAUUAUUGAGUAAUUUUGAAUGUUUAUUGAAUGAUCGCAUUUGGAAAUGCAUUCAUUUUGCCAGGGAAUGCCCCGUGGUCACUUGUAUUUAUUCACCGGGGAAUGCCCCGAAGUACCGUGUACGCAAUGGAGGUUCGUGAUGAAGGCCCGAGGCAUCAGAUAACUCAUUGGAGUUUAGUUCAGGAGUAGUUUAAGGAUAGUUCAGAAUAGAAUAGGUUUACAUUUUCCAUUAUUUUUUAUUUGUAAUAAAUUGGACUGGACACUAAAUCUUGGAUUGUUUUGUUUUGUUUGCUUGCUUGAUUGUUCAACGUGCUUUGUGUGGUCUAUACUUUCGUAGUGUCAGAUUAGCCGAUAUGCUCCACCAAGCGACCGUGGUCGAACCACGGGAUUGAGGGGUUCCUAACACCUUCCCCUCGGUCAACAGAACUCCUU
This 1476-nucleotide long non-coding RNA is filed under the name Capsicum annuum. RNAcentral describes it as "long non-coding RNA (CANN_LNC013433)". The record is from RNAcentral. Lineage: Eukaryota; Viridiplantae; Streptophyta; Magnoliopsida; Solanales; Solanaceae.